RNAcentral lists this ribosomal RNA (253 nucleotides) under uncultured Rikenellaceae bacterium. RNAcentral describes it as "partial 16S ribosomal RNA". It matches the Rfam family "Bacterial small subunit ribosomal RNA", at positions 524 to 776 of the family's 1533-position model. Lineage: Bacteria; Pseudomonadati; Bacteroidota; Bacteroidia; Bacteroidales; Rikenellaceae. The record is from RNAcentral.
UACGGAGGAUCCAAGCGUUAUCCGGAUUUAUUGGGUUUAAAGGGUGCGUAGGCGGCAGAUUAAGUUAGAGGUGAAAUUCCGAGGCUCAACCUUGGCACUGCCUCUGAUACUGGUUUGCUAGCGAGUAGAUGCUGUAGGCGGAAUGUGUGGUGUAGCGGUGAAAUGCAUAGAGAUCACACAGAACACCGAUUGCGAAGGCAGCUUACCGGCGCCCAACUGACGCUGAAGCACGAAAGCGUGGGUAUCGAACAGG